This 22-nucleotide microRNA is filed under the name Xenopus laevis (African clawed frog). RNAcentral's name for it is "xla-miR-210*". The record is from RNAcentral. Lineage: Eukaryota; Metazoa; Chordata; Amphibia; Anura; Pipidae.
AAGCCACUGACUAACGCACAUU